UACAGAGGUCCCAAGCGUUACUGAGAAUCACUGGGUUUAAAGGGUGCGUAGGUGGUCCGUUAAGUCCGUUGUGAAAUCCCUGGGCUCAACCCAGGAACUGCUUCGGAUACUGGCGGACUUGAGGCCAGUAGAGGUCACUGGAACUGACGGUGGAGCGGUGAAAUGCGUAGAUAUCGUCAGGAACGCCGGUGGUGAAGACGGGUGACUGGGCUGGUUCUGACACUGAGGCACGAAAGCGUGGGGAGCGAACGGG
This 253-nucleotide ribosomal RNA is filed under the name uncultured bacterium. RNAcentral describes it as "partial 16S ribosomal RNA". It matches the Rfam family "Bacterial small subunit ribosomal RNA", at positions 524 to 776 of the family's 1533-position model. The record is from RNAcentral.